RNAcentral lists this ribosomal RNA (301 nucleotides) under uncultured bacterium. RNAcentral's name for it is "partial 16S ribosomal RNA". It matches the Rfam family "Bacterial small subunit ribosomal RNA", at positions 509 to 807 of the family's 1533-position model. The record is from RNAcentral.
CAGCCGCCGCGGGAAUACGUAGGUGGCAAGCGUUGUCCGGAAUUAUUGGGCGUAAAGGGCUCGCAGGCGGUUUCUUAAGUCUGAUGUGAAAGCCCCCGGCUCAACCGGGGAGGGUCAUUGGAAACUGGGAAACUUGAGUGCAGAAGAGGAGAGUGGAAUUCCUCGUGUAGCGGUGAAAUGCGUAGAGAUGUGGAGGAACACCAGUGGCGAAGGCGACUCUCUGGUCUGUAACUGACGCUGAGGAGCGAAAGCGUGGGGAGCGAACAGGAUUAGAUACCCGAGUAGUCCCUGUCUCUUAUAC